AAGACUAAGCCAUGCAUGCCUUCGAAUAGGAGGAAGCAAUUCUCUCUGAAUCUGCGAACGGCUCCGCAAACCAGUUGUAAACUAUAGCAAGCAAGCUCAGAUCCAGCUCGCAAGGGCAGGGUUUGGGCGAUAUGGAUAACCCUGGUAAUUCUGAGGCUAAUACAAGAGCGUAACUCCUGGCUGACCGCUUCGGUGGGAUGCUGGGGGACGUGCGAUUGCAGCUUGGGUAUAACCGGGAAAGGGCGCACGUUCAGACCGCGCUACAAAGGAUCGGGAUCUCCCUCGGGAGGACCUGGCCCCAGCGGCUCUUGCUGUGUGCUUCUGACCUAUCAACUAGACGGCAGCGUAAGGGACAUGCUAUGGUGACAACGGGUACAGAGGAUUAGGGUUCGAUCCUGGAGAGUGGGCCUGAGAGAUUGCUCAUACUUCUAAGGAAGGCAGCAGGCGCGCAACGUUCCCCUUGGGCAAUGCCCGAGGGCGUUAGGGGACAUAUGAAUGCCUGCCCAUUGGGUGGGCAAUUCAAAUGGGUCUGUUCUAAACAGGCUCUCGAGUAACAAU
RNAcentral lists this ribosomal RNA (558 nucleotides) under Lamproderma zonatopulchellum. RNAcentral's name for it is "SSU rRNA". It matches the Rfam family "Eukaryotic small subunit ribosomal RNA", at positions 40 to 548 of the family's 1831-position model. The record is from RNAcentral. Lineage: Eukaryota; Evosea; Eumycetozoa; Stemonitida; Stemonitidae.